Orcinus orca (killer whale) is the source of this 2029-nucleotide long non-coding RNA. RefSeq lists it as uncharacterized. The transcript is spliced from 2 exons. NCBI's taxonomy places the organism in Eukaryota, Metazoa, Chordata, Mammalia, Artiodactyla, Delphinidae. The record is from RefSeq and is a predicted model, not a curated record.
AAGAGUUGGUAAUUAUUUGGAUACACAGGGCCCUAAUGGACAGAGUUGAUCUGAAAAGCAGCAGCAGAGUUGGGACAUGUCAACAAAGAGAAAGUUUUUACUUCACUUACGUAACUAGACUACCUCCUGCACAAGACAUGGCUCCACUAAAUCCGUAAAGCACAUCUGUGUGGUUUGGAGUCCUGGCUGAAGCUGGCUAAGUGCACAGUGAAACCAGUCGUCACAAUGUCAUGAUCUGGGGGUUUCUGAUGGCCUCUUGAUGUUCCUUCCCCACGUCCCACCAGGUAUGAGUCCAACCAGGUACGAGCACUUGGGAACAACACACCAUGUGUAAACACCAUGAUGUUUGCUCCUUGAGAAAUGUUUUAUUGUGAGACUUAGUAGUUACUAAACAAAUACUGUUUUUCAAUCAGCUGGCUCUGGCCCACUCAAGUCUCCAAGGCUUUAAGUCACUAUCUUCCUGGAAGGCAAAACUCAAGGCUAUGCCUUCUCCCUUUCAGGUCACCAUCCAGUCCCUUGGUUGACCAGAAGACACAAGUAUGACUUUAUCUCUUGGGUAUUGCAUCACCAGGGAGUGAUUUAGUUACCAGGGAGAUCAGACUCUGCUCAGCAAACGCUGGUGAGACUAAGAGUGUGGGCUUUGGGUUUUGGUCCCAGAUCUUCUGUUUACAUCUAGGCGUCCUACAGUUGCUUUAUCUAGGACUGGGUUACUGUGAAGAUUUGGUGACAUACUGUGUGUAAACUGGAGGCAUGAAAGUAUGAGAAAAUUAAAGUAUCUUUUUAUUAUUUUAUAAAGAUUGAAUGAACUCUUUAAAAUAUCUUUAUGGAAGAAACUCCUUAUUGAUAAAUGGCAUCUCUCUCAGGUCACAAUGAGUCGGACACCUUAUUUAUACCCAGUCCUGAAAACAAAACAGACAAACGAAAAAAACCUGGGGGACUUCCCUGGUGGUCCAGUGGUUAAGAAUCCGCCUUCCAAUGCAGGGGACACGGGUUCGAUCCCUGGUCUGGGAACUAAGAUCCCACAUGUUGUGGGGCAACUAAGCCUGUGCGCCACAACUACUGAGCCUGCGCGCCACAACUAGAGAGAAGCCCACAUGCGGCAAUGAAGAGCCUGCGCACCGCAAUGAGAGUGCCCGCCUGCCACAACUAAGACCCGAUGCAGCCAAAAAUAUAUAUAAAUAAAUAAAUAUUUUUUAAAGAAAACCUAAAGUGUUUUAAUUGGUCUUCUAUUAGUUUGUGCACUCAAAGGCAGGGUCGAGAUCAUCAGCAUUUUCUGGUCACUCACAAUUACCAAGAAUUAGAAGCGAUCUUGCAGAUCAUCUGAUUCAAACCUCCCAUUCGAUAGACGAGAAGUCUUGCUAAGGGAGUCUUGAGGGUUAAUGCCAGGAAUAGUUGUAAUAAUAAGGAACAUUUAUUAAAUCCUUACAGUGUGCCAGGCACCAUGCUAAGCAUUUUCCAUGCAUUAUCUCAUUUAUCUUUUUUUUUCCAACUGUGAGAUGGACUCCAUUAUUAGAAGCCUCACUUACAGAUGAGGAAAAUGAGACUUAAAAGAGGAUGAUGUUGUUCUCCAAAUCACCAAGGAAUAAUGGGUGGAGGACCUAACCCCAGAGCCUGCAAUUUUAUCCUCCUCACAGAACAGCCUUCAAGUCUCAGUUGGCAAUUUUUCUCUGUGCUUCAUUUAGAAGAUAUAUACAUUAAUGAAAUAGUUUCUGGUUCUAUAAAUUUUCCUGCACAUUCGUUAAAAACCAGGUAAUGACCCAGAGGAAGCAUUUCUGAAAGUACUAACCAUUCAAGGUUUUCUUGCGGUGCACAUCCAGAAGGUGAAAAUACUCCACCAAAGCCUUCACAUUUCUCACGGAUAAUAAGCAAUACAGUUUAUCCAGAUAGAGGUACCACAGAAACGAUCCUUGCUUCAGUUUCAUUAUGGUGCCCUUUAAGCCAAAGACUCUGGAAACCUGAAGUAGAAGAGAGAAUUCUGCCUCAGAAUUAGAAUGUUGGAUAGAGAGAAGCUCUGGUAAUAAAGGUCUUC